RNAcentral lists this transfer RNA (543 nucleotides) under Tolypothrix sp. PCC 7601. Its description in RNAcentral is "partial 16S-23S ribosomal RNA intergenic spacer". The stretch from base 137 to 209 matches the Rfam family "tRNA". The record is from RNAcentral. Lineage: Bacteria; Bacillati; Cyanobacteriota; Cyanophyceae; Nostocales; Tolypothrichaceae.
CGCACCCCUGAUAAGGGUGAGGUCCCUGGUUCGAGUCCAGGAUGGCCCACCUGAACAAGUAAAAAGAGCAAAGUAAAAAGUAAAAAGAAAGUGUAAAUUCUUUUGAAUUUUUCCUUUAAACUUUUACCUUGUGGAUGGGGGUUUAGCUCAGUUGGUAGAGCGCCUGCUUUGCAAGCAGGAUGUCAGCGGUUCGAGUCCGCUAACCUCCACAUGAUAUCUGUUGUGACAGCAGCAAAAGUGAAUAUAUCACAGGUAAAAAUUAGCCAAAAGUGAUAGAGUGAGUAGUUUUUGUGUUCAUAGCAGAGAAUGUGGUAAGAUAAGAGAUUGUGGGUAAAUUCAGCAAUUGACGUCAAAAAGAGUCAAACUGCUGGAAAUAGUCCAGCCAGAACCUUGAAAACUGCAUAGUAACGCGAAAAAUAGCAGGCAGACGAAAUUUCAAGUAAUGAGUGCUGAGUGCUGAGUGCUAAGUGUAAAACACAAAGGCUCCCAUGAAAGUAGUCAGGAAAGAGAAAGAGUUUGCAGAUGUGAAACCAAAUGUAUUGU